AUCGCUUCUCGGCCUUUUGGCUAAGAUCAAGUGUAGUAUCUGUUCUUAUCAAAUUAAUAUCUGAUAUGUCCCUUAUCUGGGGACCAUAUAUUAAAUUGAUUUUUGGGACAGGGAUAUUAAAAGGUCUUGUAAAACCCUCAUUCGAAGAAGCUUUAGCAUCCUCUCCUUCUCCCGCCGAUGGCCG
Molecule: small nuclear RNA, 184 nt
Organism: Protopterus annectens (West African lungfish)
Lineage: Eukaryota; Metazoa; Chordata; Ceratodontiformes; Protopteridae
Product: U2 spliceosomal RNA
Exons: 1
Source: RefSeq, a predicted model, not a curated record